UGAGUCGAGCACACGCACUUUAGAACACGGGUUCAAAGCAGGUGCCAGCAGCAACAAUGUAACAAUGUAGCAACGUCACAACAAACGAACAAGCAAACGUUCUAAACGCUUUCCAGGUUUGACUGCGUCUAUAAGGCAUUGCCUCGUGGUCAUAAUGAUGCCAAUGAGCAUUAACAGAAGCAGCAGGAAGAUUGCCAGGAUGUAGCCCACUUGGUGCAAGAGGCCUGGCAGGCGAGAGGGGAGAGGGACAAGGUUUCAUGUAAGAAUGGCCAAAACAGGCGUAAUGAGUUCCAGACAUGAUGUCAUGCCGCAGCAAUGGAGAAAAAAACACAAACCACAAGAACGGGAAGCGAUAGUGCAGGCGGAGAGACCACUUCAUGGUCAGUCUGUCUGGAGACAUUUUCCACUUAUUUAGUGCCCCACAAUAACAGGGAGAAUUUAGA
Sinocyclocheilus grahami is the source of this 443-nucleotide long non-coding RNA. RefSeq lists it as uncharacterized. The transcript has 3 exons. Lineage: Eukaryota; Metazoa; Chordata; Actinopteri; Cypriniformes; Cyprinidae. The record is from RefSeq and is a predicted model, not a curated record.